ACAAUCAUUUGUUCAUCCUGCCCACAUCUGCUUUGUGACCUCUUUGAGAGGCUGGUCCAUACCUGAGUCUUCUUAGAGGUCACAGGCCCAGAUCCGGGCCCCUUGGGGCCCCUGAAUGUUUGCUGAAUGAAUGAUUUCACAGUUACAAAUUACACUAGAAGAUGAUCGAUGAAUGCUGAAGAACACCUUGGUGAGCAUUACUUAAUGGCAUGUUCACUAGAACAUUGAAAAUUAGCAUGUUAUAGAUUAUGAAAUUGAAGACAAUUAGCUACUGAUACAUCCUUAUUCAAACAUAAUUUGUGGGAACCAGCUAAUCUAAGUACAAAUAUUCUUUCUAAGGUAUUGCAAAUUUUAUCACCAUUUUACUUAUUGUCUAGAUAUGUUUCUGCCAACUAUUUCUUUAUUCUCUUCCCCCUUAUCCUUCACUCUCAAUAUUAUACAGACAGUUGAA
This is a long non-coding RNA of Phyllostomus discolor (pale spear-nosed bat), 451 nucleotides long. RefSeq lists it as uncharacterized. Lineage: Eukaryota; Metazoa; Chordata; Mammalia; Chiroptera; Phyllostomidae. The record is from RefSeq and is a predicted model, not a curated record. The transcript has 2 exons.